RNAcentral lists this ribosomal RNA (406 nucleotides) under Actinomycetes bacterium. RNAcentral's name for it is "Actinobacteria bacterium partial 16S ribosomal RNA". It matches the Rfam family "Bacterial small subunit ribosomal RNA", at positions 355 to 776 of the family's 1533-position model. The record is from RNAcentral. Lineage: Bacteria; Bacillati; Actinomycetota; Actinomycetes.
UAAGGGAUAUUGCGCCAAUGGGCGAAAGCCUGACGCAGCAACGCCGCGUGCGGGAGGAAGGCCUUCGGGUUGUAAACCGCUUUUCAGGGUGAAGAGGAAGGACGGUAGCCCUGGAAUAAGUCUCGGCUAACUACGUGCCAGCAGCCGCGGUAACACGUAGGAGGCAAGCGUUAUCCGGAUUUACUGGGUGUAAAGCGCAAGCAGGCGGUUGGAGAAGUCACCUGUGAAAGCGCCCGGCUCAACUGGGCGAGGACGGGUGAGACUCUUCGACUGGAGGUAGGUAGAGGCAUGUGGAAUUCCGGGUGUAGUAGUGAAAUGCGUAGAGAUCCGGAGGAACACCAGUGGCGAAGGCGACAUGCUGGACCUAUUCUGACGCUCAGAUGCGAAAGCACGGGGAGCGAACGGG